UUUGACCUGAGGGUUAAAUAAUUUUAUUUAAAUUCCGUAUGCAUUACAAAUGUUUGAAAAAGAUUAAUACAUCACUUAGACAUACAUACAUAUAAAACUAUACCGAAAUAUACAUUAAAACAAAGGAAAAGAUCACGUGAAGGCUUUUUAAAACUUUAUUGAACAUAUACAUGAACAUAAACAUUUUUUCAGACACAUACUCAAAAUAUUUUUUCAAAAGAAGUGUGCUUCUUCCGUUGUUGUGUUUUGUUUUUGUUGUUGUGACUUUUUUGUCACCUUUUUUCUAAAGUUUUCCCACAUUUUUGUCCUGGAAGAAACAACCCGAAAGUGGACGUUGCUGCUUCAUGAAUCCAGCUGUGAAGGAGAAGGAACCCGUUUCUGUCGAGUUACUGAAACCUGAAGAAACUCUGUGUCGGAGCUGAUGAUGAUGAUGGUGAUGAUGAUGGUGAUGAUGAUGAUGAUGAUGAUGAUGAUGAUGAAGAAGAUGCCUCGGUAUCGCUGCAGCGAUGGCUCUCUGUUGUUUUCCCGCUGGUCAGACACCCUGAUCUGCGUCUGGAAGGUGAGUUUGAUUUAUCCACCAGCUUCAGCUGCUUUUGCGAUGUAGGGUUGCAUUAGUCAACUUUGAGACAAGCUAAGUUAAUGUUAGCCUGUGUCUUCAGCUGCAUGCUACCAGCCACUAAGCUACACUGUUGGUGGGUCUCAAAUCGCGCACUUCUGUACUUACACCAGCUGUUUUGAGUACAAAAUGUGUUCACGUUGUCGAGGUGUGGUCAAAUGGAGUGCGUUACAAGUACUCGGAUGGUGCCCUCAUGACUAGGGAUGCACCAAAUCCAGAUUUUUGGGGUUGGGCUGAGUCCUGAAUCCCCUGGUUGAGAUUGUGCUGCCUC
This is a long non-coding RNA of Perca flavescens (yellow perch), 887 nucleotides long. RefSeq lists it as uncharacterized. The transcript has 3 exons. Lineage: Eukaryota; Metazoa; Chordata; Actinopteri; Perciformes; Percidae. The record is from RefSeq and is a predicted model, not a curated record.